This 454-nucleotide ribosomal RNA is filed under the name uncultured bacterium. RNAcentral's name for it is "bacterial SSU rRNA". It matches the Rfam family "Bacterial small subunit ribosomal RNA", at positions 29 to 528 of the family's 1533-position model. The record is from RNAcentral.
AACGAACGCUGGCGGCAUGCCUAACACAUGCAAGUCGAGCGAAGCCUUCGGGCUUAGUGGCGCACGGGUGCGUAACACGUGGGAAUCUGCCCUUCGGUUCGGAAUAACAGUUAGAAAUGACUGCUAAUACCGGAUGAUGACGUAAGUCCAAAGAUUUAUCGCCGAAGGAUGAGCCCGCGUAGGAUUAGGUAGUUGGUAGGGUAAUGGCCUACCAAGCCGACGAUCCUUAGCUGGUCUGAGAGGAUGAUCAGCCACACUGGGACUGAGACACGGCCCAGACUCCUACGGGAGGCAGCAGUGGGGAAUAUUGGACAAUGGGCGAAAGCCUGAUCCAGCAAUGCCGCGUGAGUGAUGAAGGCCUUAGGGUUGUAAAGCUCUUUUACCAGGGAUGAUAAUGACAGUACCUGGAGAAUAAGCUCCGGCUAACUCCGUGCCAGCAGCCGCGGUAAUGUAU